UAAAGGUGAAUAACUGGGAUGUCAACAACAUGCCAGUUUCCUUGGAUCGCUCCAACACAAUGGUGAUGUCGUGGCUCACAAACUCCAUAGAAAGCAGAAAGCAAAAUCUCUGUAAAGUGUUUUAUGGAUGUAAAUUGCUUUUGAAAUUUGGCAAGAGCUUCAUGAAAGAUAUUAUUAAGGUGAUGUUUUUCGUAUAUCUAACCUCCAAAAAGAACUUUAUUCCCUCACACAAGGUGAGAACACCAUGUCAUAAUACUUCACCACCCUUAAGAAGUUUUCGUAGGGGUUUAAUAAUUUCAUACAUUUACCUACUUGUACAUGCACUGCCACUUAUAGAUGUCAACUAUUUCCUAUCAUUAAAGUUUGUCGAGAGAGUGAUUAUAUCAUUCAAUUUCUCAAGGGAUUUAAUAAACAAUGCCCUCAAUAUAAGAUCAUAAUCAAUGCUCAUACAUCCUCUUCCUUCAAUAAAUAAGACUUUUUCUUUACUGAUGCAACAAGAAUUUCAAUAACUCAACUAUCUCAUUGACGAUAUAAUUGUUGGUCACAUUUAGAAAUCUUGUUUUCGUGUGUGUUCUCGCUAAAAACACUUUUUUAGGUAACCUUCCUGAUGUUGGUUAAAUGAGGUUGCAAAUGUAUGGAAGUAUAUUGAUUUAGGCUCUACUAUUAGAGUACUUUGUCUAUUUUUCAGAUGCCUUACCCCUUUCAUGAGAAGCUUUUUUAUUCCCUAUGUCUCAUCUAUUUGGGCCAUUAAGAAUUGCCCCUUCAAGUCUCAUGAUUAAAUGACUCUUAGUAACGUGUGUCGUCAUCAUCAUGUUACAACUUAUACCACGUAACGUCUUCCCCUUCAAUUUCGAAACACAUGUGCGACCAUGAGAUUACACAGAACUGUUACGAUGGAUUCUCAACUCGGAUCUCUAGCUAAACACCAAUCACAUGUGUGUCUCCAAGAAUCAUAUGUUCGAUCUGGUAUCUUACUCGUUCCUAGUUUGUAGGCACUAAAUUAGUUGUUUAUUGAUUAAGGGUAACCCAACAAAUUAGGUCUUCACCUAUCGGCUCCUAGUGAAAUGUACAACUAGGCUUCAAGAAUUUCGGGACGUAUAUAAGCCCCACGACCAUAAGGCCUAAAUGGGUGAAAUAUUCGGACAAAGAGUCCUGGAAUUCUCUGUGUUUUACGGGGAUUGUACUCCAACCUAACUUUAAUCAGUCCAUAAGUCACCUCAUAGCCUGAUGACGUGUGAUGGUGGGUUUUUAUGAAUAAUGAUUACAAAUAUUAUGUUAGAUUUCUUCUCUCUCCGUGUCAUGAUGACUCUUUAUUAGGAAACCAAUUCCAUUAUGACCCUGGUUCGACAGGACCCUGGUUGCUCUCAAAGUACUACACUUCCUAUCAGUCGCUAGCACACAUAUUUCAGGUAUUGUUCUUUACCUUACUUUUUUCUACUUUAAUUCUUUUACCAUGGUUAUAAUACGUUAGUGUGGUGAUCUAACAAAUGUAUCGAUUUCCCAAAAUGCCCAAGAGAUAAGAGAACUCUGGGAUUCAUCUAUGAGAGAAUGUAAAUACCAUUUGGGGCAAGUUGAAUUUAAUCACAUUGUUAAGGAAGUUUACGGUGAUAUUUUUCAUCUUUUAGCAAAUCUGAUUCAGAAUCUUCAUCAUCAGGUUCCGUGGAAAUCGUGAUGGAGAUGAUUAGAUCUUUUAUUGAUCAAGAGGUUCUAAGCUAUGACCAUAUCACUAUUGAUGUCAAAUACAUUUCCAAUCUUUAAUCUAAUAGGCAGAUUUCUUCCACUGGUAACGAAGAUGACAUUGUGUUGGAACCCUGCAUUCCCGACGAAAGGGUUUGUAUUACUCGGCCAACAGGACUAUUGGAUGAUUAUUGUUAUUUUUAAUUGAGGGUGAUUGAAGAUUUUAGGGUUAAUAGUAGUUUACCCCCCUGUAAUAUGAGCGAAUUUCGGUUUACCCCCCCACCGUUGCCAAAGGCAGGUUUUGGCAACGGUUUUUUUGAAAAAACCGUUGCCAAAAGGUAGGGAGGGGGAAAAGCAAAAUUCGCUAACAUUACAAGGGGGUGAAUUACUAUUAACCCAAGAUUUUAAUAUCUAUAUCCCUUUUACUGAUUUUGAAUCCGACCUCCUCAAAAUCCUAAAUAUCACCUCUUCCCAGCUACACCUAAAUGGUUGGGGUUAUAUAAAAGCCUUUGAGAUGGUUUGCGAAGCAGUGGAUAUAAUCCCCACCUUAGGUUUAUUCUUCUUCUUUUUUGAACUAAAAGGGCCGAAAAGGGAGGAUGGAUUUCCUUUAGCGGUAUCCCAGGAAAAAGUUUCCUCCAAGCUUAUACUACCAACUAUAAAGGAUUUAAGACAAGUUUCAUGUGUAAAAAGCAGGGUAGAUUCCCUCAAGUAAUGUAUGUGUUGAACGAGAGCCAUCGCUUUUUUGACCUACUGUACGGAUAACCUGUUAUCGGUGUCCGAGUUUGUCUAUGAUAAAUUAGAUGAUUUAGAGGUCCAAGCUUUAGCUAUUUUAGAUGCUUUCUAGGUGGUAAAGGUCUGAGAUUUAACGAAUAUGGCUGACGAUCCAGAACAAAUCUAAAACUUCAUGGGUAAUGCUUAUAUAUUCUUUAAUAUAUUAUACUUACAUCUUUAUAUCAACCUGCUGAUUUGCUUUGGUGUUCCUUUUUCAUCCAAAAUGACAAGCCUAAAGCUGAAGGAACAAAGGAAAAUAGCGGUUGAGGCCAGAGCGAGACGCGGGGAGCACUCUGCCUCUAAGACCGACUUGACAGGUAUCCAAACCUAAGCCAUCAAGAAGAGGAAGAUGGAUAUUGGUAAAGCAUCCCAAGCAUCUCUGAUCCUGAAGUCAAUAUCAUUCCCUCUUAUGGUGGUUUGAAUCCAAGCUCUCGAAAGAAGAUGAAAACUUUAAUAAGCGAUACGGUUUGUGAUGCCUACUUGGAGGUCACCACCUUGAUGCAUUAUUGGUAUUGAGGCGUAUUUGGAGCAUGAGCAAUAACGUGUCGAAGACACGGCUUCAAACGCGCGUUUUUUAGCAACGAAACCAACUCGUCAACGAAUAAAGCUCAAAAACAAAGAAUAAUAAAUCACCAAUUUGGUUGAUAUGUUGUCAUUGUUAUAUGGGAAAUUGAAUAAGGUUUCCAACGCUUCGAACCGGAUGCAAAUCGGAGUUACGGUUCUCAAGUUACGUCAUUUUUACUAUAAGUUGUUUUUUCAUGACAGCAGAUUUAGCUUGGAAACACCAUUGGAGCUUGCAUUUGGAUGAUCGGAGGUGGAUUAUUCAUCAAUCGGAGCUGACAAUCCGUGAGAUUUUUUGUUCUUCUUCUUCUCUUCUCUUUUUAUUUCUCUUUUGGUGAGUUUGUAUGUAAAUUACUCUAAACCCAUGGAUGUUUGUUACUCUUUCUACUAGUUGUAUAAAGUUUGCUUUACAAAUCUUAAUCGGUGUUUCCUUGAUCUUUUUGCUUAAAUACUUUGGAUUGGUGUUGUUGUAGAAAUAAACAUCAUAAAUCUUGAUUAGGGGGAUAUCUGUUAGCUUUAGAUUCUAGACAUAGAGUUUGGGGUUAACAUUCACAUAAUAUCUAAGUUUAAUGUCUCUGUGUUAUUCGAUCGGUUGAGACAUCGUCGAAAGAGCAAUAUAGUUGAACUCUCGUCGGUGUUGCAGAAAUGGACAUUGAUGUGAGAGAUAUGUGGUUAUUCUGAUAAGUAUUGUAGAUUGAGUACGGCGGAGUAAUAAAUCUAAGUUUGUGAGGAGUAGUUUAGAUUCAAACCAGAUAAGUUAUUCUCUAUCAAGAAUGAAUUUAUUUUAUGUUCAUAUGUUAUAUUUUUCCUGUUUACUUUAAAACCAUUUAACCCAAACUCAAGAACUAAGAAUCCGUCGAACGGCAGUUCAAUAGCAAUAAUCUCUGUGGACACGAUAAAUUCCCGGAUAAAUACUUCCAAACCUUUUGUUGCUUGCCGCUUUACCGCUCCAACAAUUAUCCCAUUCUUCAAAGGAGUUCAAGUUCUGGUCUAACAGUUUUGAUGGACAGAAGUACCUUUAUGACCACUUGAAUACCACCGAGGACUUUGAAAAGGUAAAGUCUAUAGGAUCCCAAAAAAUGACCCAAAAUAUCACGUCUUACCUAAUGUGAUGUGCGGUCAUGACCUGAGGUCUAUUUGAAGUUGGGGAUGCGUAUGAUAAUAAUGAAAUUUGUUUCAACAAGGAGAUCAGUCACCUGAAAGAAAACCUAAUGAUCCACAUUGAUAGAGUAGAGGAGCUAGAAAAACAGUUGAUGGAAGCGCAAAAUCAAAAGGAGACCGCAAAGGCCAAUUCUCGGAUCACGAAAUGACCAUUGUUGGUUUGAUCAAGGAUGUGGAAUCAACCCAAAAAUUUAAUGAAUGGCUGCAGAAAUCUCUACAGGGGGCUCUGGUAGAUAUCCUUGAAGGAUAGAAAAACACUUAGAAAGGGGGGGAUUGAAUAAGUGUGACUUUAAAUCUUGGACGAUAAAAAUAAAAUGCACAAUUAUUUUUAUCCUGGUUCGCUGUUAACGAAGCUACUCCAGUCCACCCCCGCAGAGAUGAUUUACCUCAACUGAGGAUUUAAUCCACUAAUCGCACGGAUUACAAUGGUUUUCCACUUAGCCGCAACUAAGUCUUCCAGAGUCUUCUGAUCACAACCUGAUCACUCCAGGAACAACUGCUUAGUUCACUCCUAAGACUUUUUCUAGAGUCUACUGAUCAACACGAUCACUCUAGGCUUAGUUCACUCCUAAGACUUUUCUGCUCAGCCAACUGCCAAGACUUCCUGCUCAGCCAACUGCCAAGACUUCCUGCU
Long non-coding RNA from Vicia villosa (hairy vetch), 4804 nucleotides. RefSeq lists it as uncharacterized. The record is from RefSeq and is a predicted model, not a curated record. Lineage: Eukaryota; Viridiplantae; Streptophyta; Magnoliopsida; Fabales; Fabaceae. The transcript is spliced from 3 exons.